RNAcentral lists this ribosomal RNA (286 nucleotides) under Escherichia coli. Its description in RNAcentral is "partial 23S ribosomal RNA". It matches the Rfam family "Bacterial large subunit ribosomal RNA", at positions 907 to 1191 of the family's 2925-position model. Lineage: Bacteria; Pseudomonadati; Pseudomonadota; Gammaproteobacteria; Enterobacterales; Enterobacteriaceae. The record is from RNAcentral.
GCACUGUUUCGGCAAGGGGGUCAUCCCGACUUACCAACCCGAUGCAAACUGCGAAUACCGGAGAAUGUUAUCACGGGAGACACACGGCGGGUGCUAACGUCCGUCGUGAAGAGGGAAACAACCCAGACCGCCAGCUAAGGUCCCAAAGUCAUGGUUAAGUGGGAAACGAUGUGGGAAGGCCCAGACAGCCAGGAUGUUGGCUUAGAAGCAGCCAUCAUUUAAAGAAAGCGUAAUAGCUCACUGGUCGAGUCGGCCUGCGCGGAAGAUGUAACGGGGCUAAACCAUG